AAUAGCUCAAUCGUUCGAAAGUUCGACUUUCGAAGCAAGAGGUAGGCGGUUCGAAUCUCGCAAUG
Molecule: transfer RNA, 65 nt
Filed under: Heterosigma akashiwo
Lineage: Eukaryota; Raphidophyceae; Chattonellales; Chattonellaceae
Source: RNAcentral